Molecule: RNA transcript, 12382 nt
Organism: Pteropus alecto (black flying fox)
Lineage: Eukaryota; Metazoa; Chordata; Mammalia; Chiroptera; Pteropodidae
Gene: LYPLAL1
Gene name: lysophospholipase like 1
Exons: 18
Source: RefSeq, a predicted model, not a curated record
GGCUCCGUCACCCCGGCGGCCGCGGGGCGGGGCGCCAGGCAGUGGUGACAGCGUCCAUGGCUGCUGCGUCGGGGACGGUUCGCCUGCAGCGGUGCGUGGUGUCGCCGGCCGGGAGGCACAGCGCCUCUCUGAUUUUCCUGCAUGGCUCAGGUGAUUCUGGCAAAGGAUUGAGAAGAUGGAUCAAAGAGGUCUUAAAUCACGAUUUCGCAUUCCAGCACAUAAAAGUUAUUUACCCAACAGCCCCUCGCAGGCCAUAUACUCCUAUGAAAGGAGGACUCUCCAAUGUAUGGUUUGACAGAUUUAAAAUAUCUAAUGACUGCCCAGAACACCUGGAAUCAAUCGACGUAAUGUGUGAAGUGCUUACAGAUUUGAUUGAUGAUGAAGUCAAAAGCGGCAUCAAGAAAAACAGGAUAUUAAUAGGAGGAUUUUCUAUGGGAGGCUGCAUGGCGAUGCAUUUAGCAUAUAGAAACCAUCGAGAUGUGGCAGGAGUUUUUGCUCUUUCCAGUUUUCUGAAUAAAUCAUCGGUUGUUUACCAGGGUGUCCAGAAAAGUGAUGGAGUGCUCCCCGAAUUAUUUCAGUGUCAUGGCACUGCCGAUGAGUUAGUUCUUCACGCUUGGGCUGAAGAGACAAACUCAGCGUUGAAAUCUCUAGGAGUGAGCACGAAGUUUCACAGUUUCCCCGGUCUUCACCAUGAGCUAAGCAAAGGUGAGCUCGAAAAACUGAAGUCGUGGAUUCUCACGAAGCUUCCAGGAGAAACGGCAGCUACUAGUUGCUGGAGCAAAACAACAGAGCAAACCAAGACAGAUGGAGAGAGAUGGAGGGGACACCCAUGACGACUGCGGCGCGGGUUUAGAAAACGACUCACCUGGAGAGCGACGGGAGGAAGCGGGGCUCCGAAGAAGAGGUUUCUGAGCUAAUUGGAAUAUAAUUUUUAUGAAUUCCACCAAGAGUCAAGUUGACUGUUUAAGCUGCAUCCAUAUGAAACCACUGCAAACAACAGAGUGAAGGUCGGCGACAUCCCUGUAAGAAAGUCAGACCAGAUGUGAACAAGAUGAGGACCCUACCUGACAACAGUGGGGAAAAGCAUGGUGUCCGGCGUUUCAGGCAGCCACUUGACGUUCUGAAACAGUUUCAUAUGGACCAGGCCAGGAAUGGGACAGUGCAGCGGUUGUCGGAGAAUGGCAGAGUUGGAGGAGGACAGUUUCCUUACAUGUCCAGGUGACACCCACAUACUGACAUCAUCACUCCCUCCAUUCAUAGCAACAGAGACCACAGCGAGAGGGUGUGGAGCCCAGGCUGCUGCUCCAUCUGAUCAUGGCCCUACUUCCUGCUGGGCCAGGAAGGACCGCCUCUCCCCUUGGUUUGGGCUGACAUUUAGGGAGGAGCAUGUUAGAAAGAGAGCUGAGGUGGACAGGUUCAAGUCUUCCUUCCCCAGUGAGUAGUGUGACCUUGGCAAAAUGACUUGACUUUGCUGUGUUUGGUUUCUUACAUAUAAGAGAGGAAUAAUGAUAUAGCUAACAUAUAUCGAGGGCUUAUUAUAGAACAACUAUUCUUCUAAGUGCUUAAAUUAUAUUAAGUAAUUUAAUUCCUACAGUGUGUGUUAUCAUCAUUAUCCCAUUUUAUAGAUGAGAAAACUGAGGUACAAACUAUUUAAGUGAUUUGCUUAAGGUCACAGCUAAUAAAUGGCAGAGCUAGGAUCCAAAUAAGCAGUGAGAUGCCUAAGUCCUAAGUCUACCUCUGUGUUUUACUGGCUGUAGUUGUAAAGUUAAUACAGUUUAAUUGUAUAUUCAUCUGUAUGAUUAUUUGUCUAAAGUCUGUCUUCUUUGCUAGACUAAAGUCACCUAACCUUGUUAAAUCAAGACAGUUAUAAUGGCACCUACCUCAUUGAGUUGUUUGUAGGAUUUGGGGAGGAAAUACAGAAUACAUAAUGCCUUUAGCAUAGGGCCUGGCCACAGGAAGUGCUGGAUUCCAGGUGGCUCAUAGAAUACGUACUCAGUGAUCAGAUGCACUUAUCUUGUGGUCGCUAGUUUUUGAUCAUGCUUACAAACACGCCAUCUCCUGUCUAACUACGUCAUUACGCCUCGACCACCUUAUUUAUUGCCUAUAUUCAGGUAGUCCAGAAGAAAAGAAAAUUUCUGAGACAAUUAAAGAAAGUUCUUACUAUUUCAGAAAAAUUCCACAGCUCCAGGGGUCCACUCCCAUUAUGGAAGAAUUUUCUCCCCACUGAAUAAUCACUCUAAAGAACGACUAAAAAUUGCUUUUCUAGUUCUAUAGUCGUAAGAUCCACGCAGUAGAAACUUCACGAGAAGAUUUCAGGGCUCAGUUAUGGCAAAUGAGCUUAAUUAACAUAGCUGACCACCAAGUCUCACAAGUUUGCUCAGAGGUGGCCGUCACCGUGUCGCAGUAGAAGCGGCAGCGAAGCGGUCGGGUCAGCAGUUAUGAACAAGCAUGCUGCGAAGGCCCCUUCGUAUUUUAUCUCCGUUACCACAGCGACUCAGUCAGAUGCCAAGUGCAGUCGGACAGACGGGAAACACGGCAAAAAGGAAUAGACGUAGAGAGAGAGCAACUAUGACUUCGGGGGCCUCCUCUUUUGAAAACGUUAGGUUUUGCGUGUGGGCUUCUGAAUUUUAUUUGCAGACGCUUUACAGAAGUGAAGCACAGGCCGCCAUCCCGCGAUGCCAGCCCAACGAGGCUUUCUGGAGCGUGAAAGGCAGUAUUCCUACCGGGGUUGCACUGCGGUUUACGAAGGUGAGAGCUGGAGCCCCCUGCAGAGGGUGACGGUGACUCCGGACGUCACUGUUAACAUCGCAGGUGUCAGAGAGGGGUGGCUGAAGGCGACGGUCAUCAACCGGCCACCGAGCUCUGCGUCAGUCUUUUUUUUCCGUGACCGUGUCUCUUCUGAGCUGCCAACCGGCAUUACGACUGCUACGGGGACUCAUGGGCUCAGAAAAUUUCGAGUUUUAUUUUCCAUUUUAAUUGUGGUUUAAAUUUAUAGGAAACCCGGAAAUGGCCAAAUUUUCCAUUUAAAAUAGCCCGGCAGAGUUUGUGACCCAGAACAGUCUCUAAACACAAAAAUCCCAAAUUAGUUUUCUCGUGACUUUGGCCCUUAGGCAGGUACUGGCUAUAAAAGGCUGUGUGGCCUUGAUGGGUCUGCCUGGGAACACACUUUCAAAAAAUUUCCAGAUCUUCGUCCUGCCAUGACGGUCGGAAGAUUUUUGGCUUCCCUUCGAAAGCCAUAAAACCAGAAAGCAGAUCUGAGAAAAACCCACAGCUGCAUACAUCUGAUGACAGUCUUCAACGGAUUUCCCAGAGAUAGGGAGCUCAGCAAAACCCGUACCCCAUGAUGUCAACACACACUGAACCUUUCCUCCCUGAGCCAGUGGGUAUUCUGCGGAAGAUUUAAUCCAUCUGUCCCUGAUCUGCUUACAGUUAACUCAUCAAAAAUGCCGUUUGCAUAAGCGUUGCCAACGUUUCAUGGGCUUUUAUUUCUUGGUCUUUCAAAUGGAUGCUGGUGGGAGUCAAGUUUUGCCAGGCAAAUACAACUCCCAAGGUCUAAGUUAUUUCUGAGACCAAGACUUUGUAAAUUUCAAGUAGCUGUUUUAACUAUCACUGACAAUAGUCUUUAUUUUCAGCGGCGGUGUAUCUCCCCGUUAAAAGUGUUGGAGAAAAACAGCCUUUCAUCACCCCGCAAAGAGUAGGACCAGCUCUUUGCCAGUCUCCCCACUUCUUGUGUUUUCCACCUUAAGGAUUUAAAAUCUAAUAAGGAUAUUGGACACAGCCCCAAGUGACUACAAUACGUGGCAUAAUCUCACAGUGUAUCAAAUUUAAAUCCAUCAGUUUAACAUUCAGAGUCUUCCAGACGACUUACCGUCUUCCUCUUCUGCAUACAAUUAAAAAGUUCUGUGGAAACAGAGCUGCCUCCCGGGGCGUGGGGACAUGUCCUGCUGCUGAGGACGUUGGAGGAGGGUCUGAGGUGACAUGUCCCACCAGACCUUCCGCCCGGUUCCUUCAGACUUUGAGAUUUCACGACGACGUCACGCCUGUGCCACUGCCGCGUUUCGCUCAGCACCUUGCGGGCGUAGUGCACGUCUGUCUCCUCUCCAGCUCUCACGUCUGUCUGUCUGCCAGUUGCCUAGCAAUCCGUAACUGUCAACGGAAGCUCAACUUUAGAAAAUUAUUAGAGCAUUUCCUGCCCACUUGCUUGUCCUGGAAAAUCCACUUCACUAAACAGUGUGUGUUAUGUAUCCCCCCCACGCCCGCCCCCACGCCUCAACUUCGUCCGAUUUUGAAUUAAAAUGCAACGUCGCAUAGCGCCCAGUAGGAUCGCAGGGUUCGAAUCCUUGCUCCAGAACUUAUCAUUAGGGCCGUGUUCUUCCCCUCUCCACCUCUCAUUUUCCUGAACUGUAAAAUAGAACCGAUGACGCCGUCUCAGCGACGCGACGAGGAUUAAACACAACGGCGCGCGUACACGCUCAAGCUCGGCGCCCGAGCUCCAGCCGAUGCUAACUCGGUGUUAGCAACCGUGUUCUACGGUUAAUAAAAGCGACAGAUUUCUUUGAGCUGCUUUGAUUUAAGAAGACAGUGCCAUUUCCUGGGGCUAGCUAUACUGUCAUUCUGCCCUGAUGGGAAGGAAGAAGCACCAUUGGCAGCGAGUUGCCCGUUUAGAGGCAGGAUGGAUAUGAGGGCUGGAUAGGAGGUGAGCUGAAAUGUUACCCCCUGCCAGCUUUUUGAAAUGCAAAUUCAUCCAUCUCUUUGAUGUCUCUAGCCACUUCCAAUGAACAUCUUUCGGCAUAUUAUUUGCUUUCUUAACCACAUCACUUUUCACUGAGUUCAACAUUCCAGUAGGAUUCAAAGGAUCUUGGUACAUUCUUCCAAAAUGAAUUCAGAAGACUGUUGGCGUCUUAAGAACCGUACCUGGCUCUCACUCAUCUUGUACCCCCGGCAGGGUGGGGAUGUACACGGAUAUUACGAUGGACUCUCCUGCGAGAAUCUUCCUGCAGGAAACCGUACUCUCUGCUGGAGGCAGGAGAGCCAAGAACAUUAAAGUUGUUUGGCAACGACCUUAGAGUUGAGGUCCACCCUGGACCAGCUUCCGCGUAAGAUCUGAAAACCUCGGGAUCACGAAGCGAGCCAUGCGCGGUCGCAAACGCGCCUGGCUCUUCCGUGGCAGCUGGCGUCUCGGUUUCCAGGCUUUAGCCACGUGACAGGCUAUCCUGGAGAUCACUUCACAGCAGGACAUGAAGACCUCCUCUAUCCCCUUUCAGAGUUCAGAUACUCCGCCCUGAGGAUGUUUCGUAGUUUGUUCAACCAGACCCUAGUGAUGGGCGGCAUUCACUUGAUUUGAAUCUUUGGUUUUUAUAAACAAAGUCACAAUAGGCGGCCGUGUGCCCUGACUGUGUCUGAAGACGAAGGAUCAGCCCAGGAUCACUGAGCACCUGGAAACGCCACGAAGAAACGGCUGACGCCAGGUCUGGGAACGGAAUGUGCAAAGUGAGCCUGAAUCACCUGACAGCACAGAGAAAAGAUGCUGAUGGAGGCGGCGGGGGCACGUGAGAAGGACACAGAGGCUCUCGCGGGGCAGAGAUGGACCGAGUUAAAUAAGUAUCAGUAAUAACUGUGACAGGCUGAAAGACAGCAAGUAUAUUAAAGCGCCUUAGUUUGUAACGACUGAAGUUUCAAGUAGCAAUCGGUCACUUUUGACUAGAGAACCAUCGAAUGAUUGUGAAAAUUGACGAAAGAAAAGGCUUUUAAGCCUUUCUCCUGACUCACCUAUAUCAUAUACCUCAAGGCAACUAAAUAAUCGAUGAGAAGAAUUUUCUCUUUAUAGAAGGAUUCCAGCUAAUACAUUUUAAAUGAAUGAGAGAAUUCUAAUACUACCAUUUUCUACUCCCAAGGAAGCAAUGUGUCUAAGUAAUGACACCAGUGCUGCUGACAUCACAAGAGAGACGAGUGGCCGUUUUGCUCCUUAAUAGAGGCUGGUCACCAAGUAAACCAAAACAAUCUGAUCAAGCCUCUGGGUCCAACUCAUAAUUCGCAGAAAAUACGUGAGACGGAAGAAUAUGAUCGAUGACACCACAAAUCCAAAAAUAUGCAACGGAAAAAGAAAGAGUAAGAAGGAAAUUGAAUCUAUAAAUUCAAAGAGAUUUUCAAAAAUUUGUUUUGAUCCUGAUUUGAAGCUAGUUUUAAAACUUUUAAAAAUUAUAAGAUAGAAAACAUUUAAUGCAGUUAUUUAAUGAUAUUAAGGAACUAUCAUUAUGAGGUAAGAUACUGAUAUGGUGGUAAUUUUUUUAAAAAUAUUGAUAUUUUAGAGAUAAAGAAAAUGUUAUGGGUGAAAUAAUACAAGGUCUCGGUAAAGUAAUCUGAGGAGGAAAUAAAAUGAGAUCUGUUUGAAAUAAUUCAGGAAUUCAGGUGAGAUUGGACGUGGUGGGGGAGAGACGAAGCGAGACUGUCCACGUGCUGACAACCGUUUAAGAAGGUAAUCGACACACGGGGGCUUAUUAUACGCUUCUCUAUACUUUGACAUAUAAUAAAUAGCCUAUAAUGAAACUUUUUUGAGAAAGAUAUUGGAUAGCUUAAAAAGUAUAAUAAGGGGCAGAGAACGAAGGCCAAAGAUCUAGCUUCUAGGAACAACAAACAGAAAAUGAAGUCUCAGAAAUCCGCAGUGAGGCAUAUCCGGCGGCCGUCACAAAGCGUUGGAUUUUCUGCUCUCCCGUCUCUCCUCCCCCCUCGGGAACUCCUGAGGCAAAGUCAGGGGCAGAUGCCUCUGCUUAUCAGGCCCUUGGGCACAGCGCCACGGGAGUGUGGGCCAGGCGAGCAUCUAGUACUUUCCGUGCCAACAGCAAGAAGCGGGUUACUUGCCCCAUCCUCAUACUGAAGCAUCAAGAAGCGAGAAAUUCCCAAAAUCUAAGAAGGAAUUCAGGCGCUGGACAGGAAAAGGAAAUGACCAACAUUUGCCUCACUAGGCCGGUAACAACCUCCGUGAAUGUCAUUUUCCUCUUCUGUAAGAUGACCCCAGAAUGCGGUGAGGACAAAAGAGAGAAUGUAUCUGGGAGACAGCACUCGAGGUCCCUCAGCAAGCCUUUCUCCCUCCUUCCCUCCCUCCCUGCCUUCCUUCGUCUCUUCCUUCAGUUACUACCUCCAUUAUUUCCCCAGGAUGAUAUUCCAUUAAGGGACACAAACUAAGUCCGUAUUUUUGAAUUCGAAUUCGAUUGAACUGAAUCCAUGUUUUCAUUGGGAGAAAAAAAAAAAAUGUUCCCUUUUUCCUUAGCUCGCUCCUCGUACACCUGGCUUCACAGGAAAAGAAAUUCGCGUUUGGAAGUGCACACCUGCCUCGGCCACAGGUGAGAUAUAAAAGCGUUUCCACAUGUCCCAAAUCUCCAACCCUUGAUCAGGAUGACGGGGAACAUUCACUGUCCAGAAAAGCGAUGGACGCACUCGUCGAUCCACUGAAGUCUGCACUCCCCAGGAUGAAAACAGCCCCGCGUUUCCAGCAAUUUCCUCCGUCGUCGGCCCUGUGGUCUUGGGUCGACCCAACAAUGCGGCAGCCUUUCCUGAUCUGCUGAAGAGGAGUGUCGUGUAAAUAAUAAAAUAAUCCAAAGGUAACGAAGAGACGCCCGCCCAGAUUCUCACUUCUUCUGGCGCCCGCCACACAGACAGCCGAAAAGCACUUAGACAACGGAGAAGAAGCAACCGAGCCUGGACGACAAGUGCAAGACAGUGAUGAGAAGCUUUGGAGCCGAAGAAGCUGAGAACGUCUGCUCAUUUUGUCUCGCGGAAUGGAUGAAGAGAACACGGUGGGACACGAAGAGACAGAGUCCGAACGGAAACGAGAACAAGGAGGACUGAAAAUAAACGAGGUGCCAAUUAGCACCAGAUGGGACAGGGACCGUGUGAUGUGGAAUAGAACUCCAGCCACUGGGAACUGGAAUGAGGCCACGAACGUAUUAAGCAACGAAGGAGCCAGAAGUCGGGCCGGACUCGAGCUGGGCGCGACGUCGAGUCCCGGUCUGCGAAGGCCCAGAUGUCCCUUCUCCACUCACUGCCUGCGAGAAACAGCGAAGAAGCCCAGAGAGCGGAAACCCCGCGCCCUUGGGGCAUAGCCUUUCAUGGGCCUAUUUCCCUCUGAAUCCUUUCUCCAGGUUGAACUUGAACUAAUCUUUACAGAAUAAUUAAGUAAAGGUGCAAACGCCUGUUGUCUCGGAAACUUAGAUUUUUUUUAAGUAUAUCGUCCUUACUUCGCUGUCUUUACAUUUCUGACAUCUCGAUUUUUGAAAUUAUAACUGUAUAUACAAAUCCAAGUGUGGGAUCGAAGUGUCGGACGGGUACCUCGAACUUAAAGAGUUGUUUUUGCCAGUUCGAAGAGGAAAUAGUGGGCUGAAAUCAAGUGGCAUGACCGAAUGACAAGUGCUAAGCGAAUGAGUCGUGCCGUUCUUGCUAGAAGCAGCGGAACAAUCGUGGUUCUGACAUGAUUCCCUCUUGCCUGAGAAACUCAUCAACAUGGCCUCGAGGCUACACGUUUUUUUCAGCAGCUGCUGAUCCUUUCAUUUAAUUCUAAGCCACAAGUAAGCUUUUUAAAGAGGCGAUGUGUAUACCAAAGACUGUCCAGAGGACACUCUGUUCACAAAAUUUAAGACAGUCAGCACUGUUGGAAUUACAUGUUCUAAUACGAGAUGGGUGGAUUGGUGUGGGAGAAACAGGAGCCACCAUCCCCCCUCCUCCCCCACCCAGACUUAAACCAAAAUUGUUUUUGAGGUUCAGAAAUAUUCACAUGACAGCUUUCUAUGUUUGGCUAAAGCAGACUAAACUACAAUGCCAAGAAAAUGGUUUCUUCUAUCUUUUUCUGCUAAUACAGAUCCCACAGGACUUAGGAGCCUCCACGGUCCUGGCUGCCCACGCUCACGCACAGCCACCGUUUCAUUGCUAACAUUUAUUGCACACCUGUUACGUAGACAGAACCAAACUUUGUCCCGAAAGGAAAGAGGAACGAGUAAGAAGAAAUCGUGCCCUUGAUGCACACACCAUGUCCUGCGGGAAAAGCCACCUUGCCUAGGUGGCAGAAUCAAAUCCACGCAACAGAAAUAUGAAAACAGGAAAAGAGGAAGAAGCGACUUCGGCGGGGUAGGGUUCACCGUGCCGGUGAAAGGGAUGACAUCUGGAGGUCUGAGGUCUAAAAACGAACCACGGGGCGGUGUCUCUUCUCUUGUGAUAGCCACAAAGACAAGCAUGCCCUUGCUCCCCCGAUGACCGUAUCACACAAGAGCUCCCUUUUCUGAGUGGGCAUUGACCUUGAGGUCAGACUUGGAAUUCCAUCUCUGCCGUGUAUUAGCUACGUGACUCUGGGUUAACUAUUUAACUUCUCUAAAUCCAUUCCUAUACCGUGAAAAGGAAUAACAGAAUAGUUUUAUUAAUGUAGAAAAGGCAAAAUGAAAUAGUAUCUGUAACGUUGCCCUAGAGAGAUCAGAUCCGUAUACAGAUAGAUAUUGAAUUCUCGGGGCCCCUUCUCAUCUCUUUCUGGUUGCCCAUGAAGCUAACGAUUACUCUAAACUUAAAAGUAAUUGAGGUGGAAUGACUCGUACUGACCUCGAGGGCAGUAUGUAAAAACUCCCAUUUCUUCUAUUGUUAGGGAAACCAACUCAUGCAUUUAAAACUUAGAGCUAGUCAAAUUCGAUUCCUUAUUUUAGUAUAAAUAUCUUCUUAUAUGGGAGAUACAGAGCUAACGAUGGAUAGAAGGGAUUCUGGAGAGAAAAGAUAUUUAAGUACACAGACAGCACAGAAAUCUAAAAAUGCAAGCUGGAAUCUUAUCCCAAAAAACUCAAUUCUCGUAACUAAACAGAACAAAUUGCAUUUUUAAUGGCCAAUAUUCCAGGAGAAACCAGUACUCCUUACCCUUUUACGUGUCUUCGGGCGCUGAUAUUCGCUCUAAUGUAAACAGAAUGUUUGCUGGACGGACCAAGCACCACUUAAUAGGACACGACUUCAUUCUGGUGGAGAAAUUGUCUAAGGUUAUUGAAAUAUGACUUUUGCAACACGCGCGGCAUUUUGGCACGUGAUAGCGAUGGGACUGCAAUAAUUUUUCUUCCCCCUCGACGUAUUUCAGACACUUAUUUGAAAUCUAAAAUGGGGAGAACUAAACAAUGAUUCAGGGUGACCAGGUGGAAUACGGUGUCUGCUUUCCCCUGCUUCAGCAUCGUUUUCACUACUUGAUUCUCCUUACUAAUAGUAACAUUUUUUUUCUUCCGAAUACCUAUUUGCAGCUUUUUCGUUCUUAAUUAGUAUCCAUCUUUAGCAAAGACGAAAAAACUACGCUCUUCAUAUAAGUGCAAAGACGAUCUUCCGUUCUCUUUCCGACUCAAACGUGGAAGGGAGUCACAGACUAAGAAGAAGAAAGAGAUACACAAGUGACAAAGGGAAGGAGAAGAGCGAGCGAUACCUCCCCGCCAGCCCUUUUUUGGCCCACUUUCCACUCUCUCCUUCAAGUCUCUGCUCAGUCACAAAUCCGCUGUGGGGAACUGCUAUGUUUUCUACCUGGUUUCCGUUGCAUUCAAGAACAUCCGCGCCCAGAACACUUUUCGGCGUGUGACUUAGAAAUUUCAGGGGCUGAGACAACCCACCGGGUAAAAGUGGUAGAUAAGUAACAAAUCACAUUUUUAUCAAGUCUUUUCGUUUAAGUAUCCACAUCAAUUUCCUUGUGCCGAAUGAGUCAAAUGCUUACAACUCUGGUUCUGUCAUACUUGGCAGAGUAACACUACAUUUAUUGAUUUUUUUUUUUUUAUGGUCAAGAAGAAUUCUAUGAUCUUCAGCAAAUUUACCUCAUUACUGGCUCCCUCUCUUUGGGAUUUUACUCUAAAUUAUCACAAUGUCCAUUGUCAUCAGUUUAAGUGGUGGUUAUAGUAAGCCUAUCAUUUUUAUAAAAAUGUUAAAAUUCCUUUUAAAAACACAUUUAGGGGAUUAACUAGUGAACACAACAAAUGUUUGGAGAAAGUCACCUAUACCUAUUCAUUCAUUUAUGUAUUCAUUUAUACAACACUAUUUAUCGGGUUACUAUAUACAUAGUUAUAAGCAUUGGGAAUACAGCGGGGAAAAGAGAAAAGAAAAAUACCAGUCCCUCGUAUCAUGAAUAUUAUAAAAUGUCGUGAGGAGACAGACAGUGAGCACAAUAAAUAAGUAGAUUAAUAGCAUUUCAAAAGUGAUAAGUGCUAUAGAGAAAAAUGACAGAAUAAAAGGGAUGGAAGGUGCUGGAUGGCAGGAGUGUAAUUUUUAAACAGGAUGAUCAUGGGGAUCUGAGAAGACGACACCAAGCAAAGAAUUAAAGGAGAUGCAGGAGCCAGCCAAAUGCAUAGCUGCAAAAUGACUGCUCUAAGCAAAGACCCAGAGGUGGGAGCACGCAGUGUGCUAGUUACAAGAUGUGAUGGUGAACUUUAUGUGCCAACUUGCCUGGGUUAAGGGAUGCCCGGAUAGCUGGUAAAAUGUUAUUUCUGAGUGUGUCCGUGAGAGUGUUUCUGGAAGAGGUGAGCAUCUGAAUCAGCAGAUUGAGAAAAGAUCGCCUUCACCGGCGCAGGUGGGCAUCAUCCAAUAAGAAAGGCAGAGGAAGGGCGAAUUCACCCUCUGCGUGAGCUGGGCAGCCAUCUCCUCCUAUGCUCCGAUACUGAUACCGCUGGCUCUCGAGUGUUGGGAGUCACAUUAGGACUUAGUGCCAUCAACUGCCCUGGUUCUCAGGCUGACUAGGAGACUGACUGGCAGCACCAGCUGUGCUGGGUCUCCCGCUUGCAGAUGGCAAAUCUUGGGACUUCUCAGCCUUCAUAACGGUGUGAGCCAUUUCCUAUUUCCUCUACUAAAUCAAGAGAGAGAGAGAGAUUAUUAUUAUUCCAUAUUAUUUCAGGCUGUUCAGAGAAUCGGAGACACGAUUUUACCAUAGCAUUUGAAAAUCAAGCUCAUAAAAUAUGUUCCAAUAAAAUAUUACUCUAUUUCCUUCACGUUAGGCUCAGAAGAAUUUUAUGCUAAAUGAGAUCAGUGUUCCCUUUAUUUAGAUUUAUGGUAUGCACAAAACAUAACAAUAUGACAACAGAGCAAGUAUCAUUAUUCAAAAUCAAGUUAUUAAUUUUUAUUUUCCAUUGUAAUAUAAUGCAUCUACACAUACAAACACUGAGAUGUUUGCUUUUGGGAAAAAAGUAAAGGUUGGAAUAUAUAAACAUUGUGUAAGUUAUGAUAUAAAGUUACAUUUUAUGGGCAAUUUUAUUAGUCUUAUAUCCAUCAGCCAAAAGUCUCAGGUGCUUAGGUUGGUGGAAAAAUAAGCUACUGUCUGUAGAGUUUUCAAUAAAACAGUCAAAAAAGAAGUCGAUGUUAAAGAAAAAUUGACAUAAAAAAACUAAUAUUAUUUUAGAGA